GGUGAACGCUAGCGGCAGGCCUAACACAUGCAAGUCGAGGGGCAUCAGGGGUAGCAAUACCUGCUGGCGACCGGCGCACGGGUGAGUAACGCGUAUGCAACCUGCCCGCCACAGGGGGAUAGCCCGCCGAAAGGCGGAUUAAUACCCCAUCGCCCCGUUGUUCGGCAUCGGACGACGGGUAAAGGAGCAAUCCGGUGGCGGAUGGGCAUGCGUGCCAUUAGCUAGUUGGCGGGGUAACAGCCCACCAAGGCGACGAUGGCUAGGGGGUCUGAGAGGAUGGUCCCCCACACUGGUACUGAGACACGGACCAGACUCCUACGGGAGGCAGCAGUGAGGAAUAUUGGUCAAUGGGCGGAAGCCUGAACCAGCCAUGCCGCGUGCAGGAAGACGGCCCUACGGGUUGUAAACUGCUUUUCCGGGGGAAGAAUAAGGCCCACGUGUGGGCCGAUGCCGGUACCCCGGGAAUAAGGAUCGGCUAACUCCGUGCCAGCAGCCGCGGUAAUACGGAGGAUCCGAGCGUUAUCCGGAUUUACUGGGUUUAAAGGGUGCGUAGGCGGGCGCUUAAGUCAGCGGUGAAAUGCGGGGGCUCAACCUUCGAACGGCCGUUGAUACUGGGCGCCUUGGAUUCGGUCGAGGCGGGCGGAAUGCGACAUGUAGCGGUGAAAUGCUUAGAUAUGUCGCAGAACGCCGAUUGCGAAGGCAGCUCGCCGGGCCGAUAUUGACGCUGAGGCACGAAAGCGUGGGGAUCGAACAGGAUUAGAUACCCUGGUAGUCCACGCCCUAAACGAUGCGAACUGGACGUUGGGUGCAAUUGAGCAUUCAGUGUCGAAGCUAACGCGUUAAGUUCGCCGCCUGGGGAGUACGGUCGCAAGACUGAAACUCAAAGGAAUUGACGGGGGCCCGCACAAGCGGUGGAGUAUGUGGUUUAAUUCGAUGCAACGCGAAGAACCUUACCUGGCCUUGACAUGUCGAGAAGUCUGCAGAGAUGCGGAUGUGCCUUCGGGAACUCGAACACAGGUGCUGCAUGGCUGUCGUCAGCUCGUGUCGUGAGAUGUUGGGUUAAGUCCCGCAACGAGCGCAACCCCUGUCCUUAGUUGCCAGCACGUAAUGGUGGGAACUCUAAGGAGACUGCCGGUGACAAACCGGAGGAAGGUGGGGAUGACGUCAAGUCAUCAUGGCCCUUACGGCCAGGGCUACACACGUACUACAAUGGUGGGGACAGAGGGUCGCAAUACCGCGAGGUGGAGCCAAUCCCAGAAACCCCAUCUUAGUCCGGAUCGCAGUCUGCAACUCGACUGCGUGAAGUCGGAAUCGCUAGUAAUCGCGGAUCAGCAUUGCCGCGGUGAAUACGUUCCCGGGCCUUGUACACACCGCCCGUCACACCAUGGGAGUUUGUUGCACCAGAAGCAGGUAGCUUAACCGCAAGGGGGGCGCUUGCCACGGUGUGGCCGAUGACUGGGGUG
RNAcentral lists this ribosomal RNA (1463 nucleotides) under uncultured bacterium. Its description in RNAcentral is "partial 16S ribosomal RNA". It matches the Rfam family "Bacterial small subunit ribosomal RNA". The record is from RNAcentral.